RNAcentral lists this ribosomal RNA (329 nucleotides) under uncultured eukaryote. Its description in RNAcentral is "partial 18S ribosomal RNA". It matches the Rfam family "Eukaryotic small subunit ribosomal RNA", at positions 1470 to 1796 of the family's 1831-position model. The record is from RNAcentral.
CCCUUAGAUGUUCUGGGCCGCACGCGCGCUACACUGAUGCAUUCAACGAGUCUAAAACCUGCUCUGAUAGGGGUGGGUAAUCUUUUGAAUGUGCAUCGUGAUUGGGAUAGAUGAUUGCAAUUUUUCAUCUUCAACGAGGAAUGCCUAGUAAACGCAAGUCAUCAGCUUGCAUUGAUUACGUCCCUGCCCUUUGUACACACCGCCCGUCGCUCCUGCCGAUUGAAUGAUCCGAUGAAUAUCAUGGAUUGAGGAUGCAAGUAGGUUAGCCUAUCUUCAUCUUCGAGAAGUGAAGUAAAUCUUAUCAUUUAGAGGAAGGAGAAGUCGUAACA